Molecule: long non-coding RNA, 415 nt
Organism: Rana temporaria (common frog)
Lineage: Eukaryota; Metazoa; Chordata; Amphibia; Anura; Ranidae
Exons: 2
Source: RefSeq, a predicted model, not a curated record
UGCAUAGAGAAUUAGUUUUGGUGUGUGAGUGUGUGUGUGCUGCCACUCUCCUCCCUCUCUCCCUCUCUCUCUCUCCCUCUCUCUCUCUCUCUCUCUCCCUCUCUGUCCUCAUACUGAUCACACAGCUUUGAUUCUCUGGCUCUCAGUAAACAGCUGAGACUCCCACCUUUUUUUUUUCCCUUUUGCUUUGGACAAGAGAAAACAGAUCGUCUGGAGCUACAAACCUGGGGCACAGUGACAUGCACCUGUACCCCCCUCCUACUACUAGCAGGUGUGACAAUUUGAAAUCUGCCCAGUAGGUGGGACUUGGUGACUUUAGCACCCGAUUUUUUUGUUCACUGUCUCCCCCAUCUUCUGUUGCAUUCCUCAGAAGUCUUAUAGUUCUCCUGGAAAAAAAAAAAAAGGCAAUCUGGAA